RNAcentral lists this ribosomal RNA (568 nucleotides) under Halorubrum xinjiangense. RNAcentral's name for it is "bacterial SSU rRNA". It matches the Rfam family "Archaeal small subunit ribosomal RNA", at positions 59 to 628 of the family's 1478-position model. The record is from RNAcentral. Lineage: Archaea; Methanobacteriati; Methanobacteriota; Halobacteria; Halobacteriales; Haloferacaceae.
CGCACGAGUUCAGACUCGUGGCGAAUAGCUCAGUAACACGUGGCCAAACUACCCUUCGGAACACGAUACCCUCGGGAAACUGAGGCUAAUAGUGUAUACCACAUCACCACUGGAAUGAGUGAUGUGCCAAACGCUCCGGCGCCGAAGGAUGUGGCUGCGGCCGAUUAGGUAGACGGUGGGGUAACGGCCCACCGUGCCAAUAAUCGGUACGGGUCAUGAGAGUGAGAACCCGGAGACGGAAUCUGAGACAAGAUUCCGGGCCCUACGGGGCGCAGCAGGCGCGAAACCUUUACACUGCACGACAGUGCGAUAGGGGGAUCCCAAGUGCACAGGCAUAGCGCCUGUGCUUUUCGGUACCGUAAGGUGGUACCAGAAUAAGGGCUGGGCAAGACCGGUGCCAGCCGCCGCGGUAAUACCGGCAGCCCAAGUGAUGGCCGAUCUUAUUGGGCCUAAAGCGUCCGUAGCUGGCCGCGCAAGUCCAUCGGGAAAUCCACCUGCUCAACAGGUGGGCGCCCGGUAGAAACUGCGUGGCUUGGGACCGGAAGGCGCGACGGGUACGUCCGGGGUA